Molecule: small nucleolar RNA, 91 nt
Organism: Alligator mississippiensis (American alligator)
Lineage: Eukaryota; Metazoa; Chordata; Crocodylia; Alligatoridae
Source: Rfam
GGUCCUCAAUGAUGUUAGCACUGGGCACUGAGCUGCUGUGAUGAUGGUAGUGCCUCCCAGGGACUUGACAUCUUGGGGGACUGAGGGGACC